GGCACGCUCCCAUCACUGCAACCUCAACCUGCUGGGCUCAGGGUUGAUGAGAUGGAUUACAUUCAUUUGUUUUCAAUGUUGAAACAGCCUGACAUACCUGGGAUAAAUUCUGCUUG
Molecule: long non-coding RNA, 116 nt
Organism: Carlito syrichta (Philippine tarsier)
Lineage: Eukaryota; Metazoa; Chordata; Mammalia; Primates; Tarsiidae
Exons: 2
Source: RefSeq, a predicted model, not a curated record